Panicum virgatum (switchgrass) is the source of this 6169-nucleotide long non-coding RNA. RefSeq lists it as uncharacterized. Lineage: Eukaryota; Viridiplantae; Streptophyta; Magnoliopsida; Poales; Poaceae. The record is from RefSeq and is a predicted model, not a curated record. The transcript has 2 exons.
ACAUGUUUCUCUUUCCGGUGCUCAUGGCUCAUCCGAUUUUUCUCUCGCCUAGGUUUUCCCUCUCUGGUGCGGCGCCCCCAAAUCCUCUCCCGCCGGCGCUGAACUCAUCUCCCGCGCGGCCGCGCCGGCGCUGCUCAAAUCCCCCCUGCGUUGGCACCCUCAAACCCAUCUCUCCCGCUGCCCCCAAAUCCUCCUCGCGAGACCCCUGAAGCUCGCCUCUCUGCUGCCCCAAAUCCUCCUGCUCCUCUCCAACCCAGCACCGCGCCACCCCCACCUUCAUCUUCGUCGCCGCUCGUGCAUCCACUCCGUCUGCAUCGCCAAGCCCAUGAAAUCCCAUCUGCAUCGUGCAGCCUAGCAAUGGCUAGGUGCCCCCCAAACCCUAGCACCAUGGCUCAAGCACUAGGGCGCCGGAAAUCCUACCAGCGCUGCUGAGAACCAAGGUGGAGGAGGAGCUGUGUCCCUAGGAGCCGUGUCUGGAGAGGAGAAGGGGAGGGGUACUGCUGCUGCGCAAGGAAGGGGAAUGGUACUGCUGCUACUCAAGGAAGGGGAGGAACGGAGGUCUGUGCUCCCAAUCAAUCUGCUCCGUUUGGCCAUUCGCCCCCUCACGACCUACACGCGACCGUUCUGCUUCUACAAAAGAAAAAGGUGAAUUAUAAGGCCGGAGGAAGACAUUGGGUGCUUGAUAGUGGAUGCACUCAAUAUAUGACCGGAGAUCCAAAGAUGUUUUCCUCUCUUGAUGAUAAUGUGAUUGGCUAUAGUGAUAUUAUCUUUGGUGACAAUAACCAAGGCAAGGUCAAAGGAGUUGGUACAAUUGCUAUCUCAAGUGAUCAUUUUCUUUCAAAAGUUUUGCUAGCUGAUUCUCUCAAGUUCAAUCUCUUGUCGGUCACUCAACUUUAUGAUUUUGGUUAUAAGUGUAGUUUCACUAAAGAUGAUUUUGUAGUGACUAGUUUGGAUGGAAAUGAUCAUAUCUUCACGAAAUUUAGACAUGAGGAUGUAUAUCUUGUGGAUUUUACUACUAGAGGCAAAUUUGUCCACUUGCUUGUUCUCUCAAUAAUCUUUGGGUUGGUCAUGGCAUAGAAGACUUGGUCAUGUUGGCAUGAAAUAACUCAACCGACUCUUGAAGCAUGAUUUAGUAGUUGGCUUGAAGAAUGUGAAAUUUGAAAAAGAUAAGUUAUGUAGUGCAUGUCAAGCCGGAAAGCAAGUUGCAAAUGCUCAUCCCUCCAAGAGUGUUAUGUCAACCGAGAGACCAUUAGAAUUAUUGCAUAUGAAUUUAUUUGGUCCUACAACAUAUAGAAGCAUUGGAGGAAAUUGCUAUUGUCAUGUGGUAGUGGAUAAUUAUUCAAGAUAUACAUGUGUUUUCUUUCUACAUGACAAGGCCGAUACAUAUAAUAUAUUCAAGAAAUUCAUAACAAGGGCCGAGAAUGAAUUCGAGCACAAGGUGAAAAAAGUGAGGAGUGACAAUGGAAGUGAGUUUAGAAACACAAGAGUUGAGGAAUUGUGUGAUGAAAAGGGAAUCAAGCAUGAGUUCUCAACCAAGUCCACUCCGGAGCAAAAUGGUCUUGUUGAAAGGAAAAAUAGGACCUUGAUUGAUAUGGCUAGAUCAAUGCUCUCCAAGUAUAAUGUUUCGGAUAAUUUUUGGGCCAAAGUAAUCAACACGGCGUGUCAUGCUUCUAAUAGGCCCGACAUCAUGUUUAGUGUUUGCAUGUGUGCACGAUUUCAAGCCGCACCUAGAGAAUGUCAUUUGACCGUCGUCAAACGCAUCUUGAGAUACUUAAGUAUACUCCUAAUAUUGGUUUAUGGUAUCCCAAGGGUGCUUAUUUUGACUUGAUUGGAUUUUCGGAUUAGGAUUAUGCUGGGUGCAAGGUUGAUAGGAAAAGCACUUUCGGUGAUUGUCAAUUUCUUGAAAGGUCUUUUGUUUCUUGGUCUUCAAAGAAGCAAAAUUAUGUGGCUCUUUCAACCGCCGAAGCGGAAUAUAUUUUGGCCGGAAGUCGUUGUGCACAACUAUUAUGGAUGAACCAAACUCUUCUUGACUUUGGUGUGAAGUUUGAUGAGAUUCUCUUAAUGUGUGAUAAUGAAAGCGCCGUGAAAAUUACAACUAAUCCGGUGCAACAUUCAAGAACAAGCAUAUUGAUAUCUGUCAUCAUUUUCUUAGAGAUCAUGUGAGCAAGGGUGAUAUCAAGAUUGAUGGAAUUGGUACGGAUGAUCAAUUAGCCGAUAUAUUUACCAAGUCAGUGGAUGAAUCUCGGUUUUGCAAGUUGAGAAAUGAGCUAAAUAUCAUUAACUUCUCAAAUGUGGCUUGAAAACUAGUACAUAUGGCAUGUGGUUCUUCAAUGCAUCUCUUGUUUCAAUUUUCUAAAUUUUUUUAGGCUUUUUUUGAGCUAUUUAUGAGUUUUCUUGAUUUUACUCGAUUUAUUUUUAAUUGUUCGUUCUUACUCUCUCAUAUGAGUAUAGAUGAGCAAACGGGCCGCCCGGCCCGGCCCAGCCCGGGCCCGGGCCGGGCCCGGCUCAAUCGUGCCGGGCCAAGUUUGGCCCGUCGUGCCACCGUGCCGGGCUGCCCCGGGCUUCGUGCUUGGCCGACGGCCCAGGCCUGGCCCAUAGGCCUAUUUUCGUGCCGGGCCGGCCCAAAUGGCCCGACCAAAAUGACGUGCCGGGCCGGCCCAAAUGGCCCAUAAACAUAUGAGGAUAUCAAUUUCACAAUGUUUAAAGAAUCGUAUAAGCUAAAUAUCAUUUCUCAAAUAUCAUUAAGUUCAUAAAUAUUAAAAAAACACAUAAGUUACAUCUAUAAGUUAACUUAUUGACAAAUGACAAGUUAUAAGUUAAUAUAUAAGUAUAUAAUUUUAGUUAUAUAUAAGCUAACGUGCCUCUACGUGCCGUGCCGCCCGACGGGCCUGCCUGGCGGCCCAAGCCCGGCCCGAGACCCGUGCCGUGCCUAGCCCGGGCCCGGUGUCUUCGGGCCUGUGCCGUGCUUGGGUCGUGCGGGGUGCCCGCAGCGGCGGACCCAAGUCCCGGCAACCCUGGGCACCGGCCCGGGCUCCGAGGCAGCAGUCACUGAGUCACAAGAUGCUACCCGAUAAAUCUAUCGUUCGUCUUUUGUGCUAGAGGCCCAGAGCUAAGAAGAAAUGGGUGCCUUGUAUUGUAUUGGCCCAGGCUCCCAUCACAACCUGGGUCCGCCACUGGUCGCCCGUGCUUGGGCCGGGCUACCGGGCCUCGGGCCUUCUGCUCAUCUAUGCAUAUGAGUCUUUGGAAGGUAUCCAUGCUAGUUUUGAGAUUUUUGGAAUUUUAUAUGAGCAAUGAUCCCAAAUUGAAGUUAGAAUUGUGAAAGUUGGCAAAAUUCUGGGCUGUCUGAAAUUUGGUAGAGCGGACGGUCCGCAGGUAAGAGGCGGACGGUCCGCUGUUCAUUGGAUUUUUCCACCAGAGACUCUGCAGAGAUGAAAUCAGCCGUAGAAAUGUACUGUGGACUGUCCGCCAUUGGUCCGCGGACGGUCCGCCUGUGCGCAGAAAGGUGGGGUCGGCCAGAACUUGACAUAUAUGGUUGUGUCUCAUUCCCCUUCCACCAAACCCGACCACAUCCACUCAUUUUGCCAUCCCUCUCUCUCUCAAGCACGUGGGGGGAGCUCACAAGGUCAAGGUCAUUUAGCGUGAUUCCCGGACGGUCCGAGCGCAUCCCCGGACACUCCGCGUCAUUCUCCAUCAUAUCUUCUCGGUAUUUCAUUGAAUCCCUAACUCUUGUUCUUGGAUUUCAUCAUUGGAAAGAGUUAGGGUUAGGGCCUCUGAUCUAUUUUUGGGCCAUGGAUUCAUGAAAAUACUUGGGGGAUCUUGUUUCUAGUGAUGAGGAGAUGCUUUGGUUAAAUUUUGGUUGGUGGACUUGAAUCAAAACUCAAGUUAUGGAUGAAUCAAAGUUGGGGGCGAUUUUCAGUCACUAUGCAUGAACAGAUGGGUUGCGGACGGUCCGCUUGCUGACCGCGGAUGGUCCGCUCUGGGUUCAGUGAACUGUGGACUAUCCGUGUUCAGAGUGCGGAUGGUCUGCUAGUAUCAGAUUUUUUAGAAUAACUAAUGAAGUGAUAUGUUUCAUUGCGGAUUGAUUCUAAUGCCUGAAUAAUUGUUCUUAUGAUUAAUUAUUGAUCUCAGGCCACCUCAGAAGAUUCUCAAGGCCACUACCUCAAAGAUUAAAAAGGCAGUGUCUUCCAAAAGACAAAGAGAUGGUGAUGACUCCGAUGAUGAGGACUAUGCUCCUAACCCAAGUGACAUGGCUGCUGCAUCAUCUGUUGGGGGUGUUGGAGAUGAAUCUUCCGAAGAAGAUGUUGAGGGUGAAGAAGAUGAUGUCACUGAUCUCAUGGGGCUUGAUCUUCCUAGCAGGCAAUGGACCAUUGAGUCAUACUCUAAUGCAAGAUCAGUGAACCAGCUCAACGUACCAUGUGACACCAACAUCCUCUACUUCAGAACUGAGGUACAGAUUGAUGCAUUAUUUGGUCAUAUGGUUAAGAAGACAGUUUUCAAACAUCAGACCAUAGACUUAGCUUAUAUGAGAUCACAGCCAGUCAUGACAGAACUUGUUGAUAGAUUUGAAACCAUGGGUUUAGCUAACUUUCUUCAGCAUAGAUGUGACUAGAAUGAAACAGUGAUCCGUCGGUUUUAUGCCACCUUAGAGAUUAGCAUAGAAGAAGAAAAAAUUUGGUGGACAACUGAAAAGAGAACAUACUAUGCCACUUUUGCUCAAUUUGCUGCUGCAAAUCAAUUGGAUUAUGAGUUUCUUAAGGAUGAGCAAAGUGCCAAUAUUGUGCUAGAAAACCCACUUGAUGAAAAUGACUAUCCCAUGUUCUAUGAGCCUGCACAUUUGGGGAUUGCUAGAGUCUUUGGAGGUACUCACGGUCUUAGGCAUCAUCCUGCUGUGAUUAACAAGAUUGCUAGAGUUACCUUCAUGCCAAAGAGUGGGAACAAGGAUAAAGUCAGAGGGUGGUAUUGGAAUGUAAUAUCUCAUGUUAUGCAUGGAAACAAAAUUAAUGUGAUAGCUCUCAUCAUGGAUCAGCUAGCAGAUCUGAGACUCAACCUUGAGAUGAACAUGUAUUUUGCCCCAUAUAUCAUGUCUAUCAUCAAGGCCAAGACCAACUUCAGAGGGGUUUGUGAGUGCAAGCACUCCUUUUAGGCCUUUCAAGAAUGAUACAUCAUUUCUUCUAAGGCCCUUGACUCCUUUCCCCGGUGAUGAUAUAGAGGAGGAGGACCAUGAUGAGGAUGAUGAUGAGGGUGAUGAGGGUGGUCACAUGGGAGGAGAGGCAGAACAGCAUGCUAUGCCACCUCCACAGCCUCCAGUAUAGCCACAGUGGGCACCUCCAGCUGGGUACUUUGACCCAUACUUUGCAUCGAUGCAGCAGGGUAUGACUUCUCAUAUGGAUGGCCUUGUGACCCAGAUGCAGACUCAGAUGAACUUAGGUUUCCAGAACAUGCAGCAGCAGAUGACUCAGCACUUCAAUGAAGCCAUGUUCCAGCCUAUGAUGGCCCAGAUGAGAGGAGUUCAAGAGGAUCUCCACUCAGACAUAGCAGCUUUGGACUCCCGCUUUGAGGAUAUGCCUUCUUCUGAGCAGUUCCAGCAGCUUGAGCAGCGACAGCAGCAGUUAGAGCAGCAUUUUGACACGUUUCACACUGCUUUCACGGGCUUCUCAGACCACUUCUACUCGGUCUUCCCGGCUCCAGUGCCGCCUCCAGAGUUCUAUCCACACCAACCCUUCUAUCUGCCGCCACCGCCUCCGCCUCCGAUGGAUUGAGCUUCUUGGUCAUUGAUGCCAAAGGGGGAGAAGGACAGCUUGGAGUGAUGCAUGCCUGGAUCUAUGGGGAGCUCAUGGACUUCGCAUGGGCAUUAUUCGCUUUGCUUCCUCUUGCUACUCAUGAGUUAUAUAUGCCGAACUUUGUUGCAUUGCAUGUUUAUGCUUUAUGUCUUGCAUGGACUCGUUUUGUUAUUUGAACUUGAUUUGUGGAUCUAGUUUGUAAUUCAUGAAGAACUACGUUGUCUUGUGAUACUCUUAUCGAUUAUGUUCACCUUUGUGGCUUGAUGAGAUUGUGCUAACCGUUAUAAGCUUAUAUCAUAUAUAUCUUGUAUGUUGUAUGCCUCGAUUUCCAUUUGUAGGAGAAACUUUGUCAAAAUUCACGAUUCAUAUAUAUGUGCUCUUGGAUUUCA